RNAcentral lists this ribosomal RNA (253 nucleotides) under uncultured bacterium. Its description in RNAcentral is "partial 16S ribosomal RNA". It matches the Rfam family "Bacterial small subunit ribosomal RNA", at positions 524 to 776 of the family's 1533-position model. The record is from RNAcentral.
GACGUAGGGGGCCAGCGUUGUUCGGAAUUACUGGGUGUAAAGGGUUCGUAGGCGGUGUGGCAAGUCGGGAGUGAAAUCUUUGGGCUUAACUCAGAGGCUGCUUCCGAAACUGCUGUGCUUGAGUGUGGGAGAGGCGCGUGGAAUUGCAGGUGUAGCGGUGAAAUGCGUAGAUAUCUGCAGGAACACCCGUGGCGAAAGCGGCGCGCUGGACCGUUACUGACGCUGAGGAACGAAAGCUAGGGGAGCAAACAGG